GACGAACCGUGCGAACGUUGUUCGGAAUCACUGGGCUUAAAGGGCGCGUAGGCGGUCUGCCAAGUCCGGGGUGAAAUCCUCCAGCUUAACUGGAGAAGUGCCCUGGAUACUGGCGGACUCGAGGGAGGCAGGGGUUGUGGGAACUUCCGGUGGAGCGGUGAAAUGCGUUGAUAUCGGAAGGAACGCCGGUGGCGAAAGCGCACAACUGGUCCUCUUCUGACGCUGAGGCGCGAAAGCCAGGGGAGCAAACGGG
Molecule: ribosomal RNA, 253 nt
Filed under: uncultured bacterium
Lineage: Bacteria
Description: partial 16S ribosomal RNA
Rfam family: Bacterial small subunit ribosomal RNA
Source: RNAcentral